AGCGAACGCUGGCGGCAGGCCUAACACAUGCAAGUCGAACGAACUCUUCGGAGUUAGUGGCGGACGGGUGAGUAACACGUUGGAACGUGCCUUUUGGUUCGGAAUAACUCAGGGAAACUUGUGCUAAUACCGAAUGUGCCCUUCUGGGGAAAGAUUUAUCGCCAUUAGAGCGGCCCGCGUCUGAUUAGCUAGUUGGUGAGGUAACGGCUCACCAAGGCGACGAUCAGUAGCUGGUCUGAGAGGAUGACCAGCCACACUGGGACUGAGACACGGCCCAGACUACUACGGGAGGCAGCAGUGGGGAAUCUUGCGAAAUGGGCGAAAGCCUGAAGAAGCCAUGACGGGUGAAUGAUGAAGGUAUUAGGAUUGUAAAAUUCUUUCAACGGGGAAGAUAAUGACGGUACCCGGAGAAGAAGCCCCGGCUAACUUCGUG
RNAcentral lists this ribosomal RNA (433 nucleotides) under uncultured bacterium. Its description in RNAcentral is "partial 16S ribosomal RNA". It matches the Rfam family "Bacterial small subunit ribosomal RNA", at positions 29 to 507 of the family's 1533-position model. The record is from RNAcentral.